Molecule: long non-coding RNA, 577 nt
Filed under: Androctonus crassicauda
Lineage: Eukaryota; Metazoa; Arthropoda; Arachnida; Scorpiones; Buthidae
Source: RNAcentral
GGGUGAUCUUACGUCCUUGUUGCCUGUUAUGUUAUAUUUGGCUGUUUUUGGUAUGGAAUGGGCACGCUGUUGGUUAAUUCAUUACCUUGGUAUUUUUGACAUUUAAUGAUUGUGUUGCCGUGCGUUUUGGUGUGAAAUUUAGUAGUUGUAGUAAUGCUACGGUUGCCUCGUUGUUUACGAAUACCUCCUGUUAUGUUGUUAUUUGUUUAAUGCUAUUACUAAGCGAUACAGCAUCUGACGGUGUGUCGUUGAGAUAUGUGUUAUUUGAUGUGCCGGCCACAUUCAUUUUUUGUGGAAAUGUGUUUUUUGUAUGUAUUUUCUUCCUCUGUACUGUUUCGGAAACGUCUUCGUGUUUCAACUUGUUUGUCCUGUGCCUUUCCUAUAAUCUCAGAAGUGAAUUUACAUAUUGUGGACGUCUUUGGCAAUGUUCUGCGCACCUAUUGGCUAGAAGUGUUUGCGUCGUGAUUUAUGCAAAAUAGUAAUGGCGGUGGGAAAUGACGGUGGACUGUUGAAAUGUGUGUUUUACGGUUUUGGACGGUAGUGUGUGUGGUGGUGUAGGAGACGUGAUAGUACGCUG